GUAAAAUACUUGUGAAUGUAAUUUUGGUUUAUGGAUCACUCCACAGGUGUUUUAUUCACAGAAAAAGAAAGGAGACAGAAGAAAUACCCUGGCAGGACAAGGUGACAGAGCUGUGACCUGCAGUACAGAAUUUCUUCAAGUUCUUCUUUAGUCAGUUCAGCUGCCAGUGCUGAAACACUUGCCCAUCUCCAGAGCUCCAGCCCAGCCUCAACCUACACUCCCAGGGCUUCUUCUCUUUCCCAUAAAGAAAGCAGGAGUUUCCUCAGAAUGAGAAAUCUCUGUGCUGAAGACUUCAGAUAAAUCCAAAAGGCAGGGCAUAGAUUGGCCUCUUGAGGCAACAAAGCGAAGUUUGGGAUAUGUCCUGACAAUGUGCUUAGGAAUGACACUUGAUGAAAUGCCCAGGUGAAAUUUUAAAAAAAACCUUAUGGGUCACUUUUUUGGCAGUUGCAUCACUAACUGGUUAAUGCAGAAAGAUAAAAUUAAAUAAUUUUUAGAGACAGAGGACACAGAAAUUGUUUAGCUGCUUGAUGGGAUGUGCUGAAAUGUGUUUAACCACUUGGAGAAUUCAGGAUUUGGGAUCUAUUGUCAUCAACUGGGAUCUGCAGCUGCAUUCUUCCCUCUUUGACAAACCACAGUCACAUUGUGCUUUAUUCUCAUUCAGGACUCUUUCAGGCAAAAGAGGCACAGAGACAUUCCACUCUUCCAUGUGUUGUAGCCCUCAGACCUCCAGGUUUACAGUCCUGCUGUGGAAUGCAGCAGAAGUGGCCAACAAACACCCCAGGAGUGAGAAAGAUCUGAGGAUUUUCAAAAGACUUUUUGAGGCCAUGAAGAAAAAGACUAACACUUGCAGAGAUCUGGCUGGCUUCCAGCAUGACAGAAGUCGGACAUGGGGUAUUCUGCUCCAUGUUUCCUUUAAAAUGAGGGAUCUUCUGGAAUGGGACCAGUGGGGGACACAAGAAAAAGAGAAUGUCAGUGGGUAAGAACUAGUGUAUCAUUUUGGUGAUUGUAGAACACAGAAAAAUGAGUGAAUGCUGGUGAUGAUGGACUUUUUUUUUUAAAAAAAGGCAUUUGGUAAACUGCCUGGGAAUCACACUGCAAGCUGUUUCUGGUCACCUAGGCAGGAAAAUCAAGCCCUAAGGUUUGCCAGGUUAUUUAUUCUGCAUCUCUCUGCUUGAAUGGGAGUAAACUCAGAGAGAGAGAGAGAGCUAAGAAGCAAAGCAGAGAGCAACCAGGUGGCUGCAGGAUGUGCCAAUCCCUGUGCAGAAGUGAAUGUGUUUUAAUUCCUGCCUCACAGUUACAUUUUUGUUGUGCCAUACCCGAGAGAAAGCUCCUAGAGCACGAAUAGAGUGGGGACAUCACUGAUACGAGCUCCACAUUUG
Molecule: long non-coding RNA, 1379 nt
Filed under: Cyanistes caeruleus (blue tit)
Lineage: Eukaryota; Metazoa; Chordata; Aves; Passeriformes; Paridae
Description: lncRNA (ENSCCEG00000003809.1)
Source: RNAcentral